RNAcentral lists this long non-coding RNA (488 nucleotides) under Rattus norvegicus (Norway rat). RNAcentral's name for it is "long non-coding RNA NONRATT028717". Lineage: Eukaryota; Metazoa; Chordata; Mammalia; Rodentia; Muridae. The record is from RNAcentral.
CCCUAGACGCCGCCGCAACAGGAAGAAGACCGUUUCCAUCUCAGAGUCUGAGGAGCCUCUACUCCCUGAACCAGAAGAUGAGCCCUCCAAGGAGACAAGUAAACGCCACUUUAGUGGUGGUCUCAACAAGUGCAUUAUCCUGGCCUUGGUGAUUGCUAUUAGCAUGGGAUUUGGACAUUUCUAUGGUGAGUGUUUGGAAACACUUUGUGUAGAAGCCACUUGCAUAUAGCAGCAAGACAAGAUGGCAUGAGAAGGCUGGGUGUGUGGCCUGUACCUGUAGUCAGCUACUUUACUCAGGAAGCAGAAGAAAAGGAUUGCUAAGUCUUUGGAAUUUGAGAUUAGCCUGGGCACUGUAGCAAGACCCUGUUCCAAAACAAAGCAUUAACAUUCCUUUUUUUUUUUUUCUUUGAGACAAGAUCAGGCUGGUUCUCUAACCUAUAAUCUUCCUCCAUCAGAAUCUCAAGUAUAAAUAAAGACUAGUAACAUAC